Meriones unguiculatus (Mongolian gerbil) is the source of this 1328-nucleotide long non-coding RNA. RefSeq lists it as uncharacterized. NCBI's taxonomy places the organism in Eukaryota, Metazoa, Chordata, Mammalia, Rodentia, Muridae. The record is from RefSeq and is a predicted model, not a curated record. The transcript is spliced from 2 exons.
GCUGAGGCUUGGCACAUGGGGAAGAGCCAAGUCACAGCAGCUCUGAGGACACUCCAGGUGUGUCCCCUCCCUCCUGGUCUUUCAGAGAGCCCAGCAGGUGCAUCUCUGCCUGUCCAAGUCAAUCCAGGUCCUAGUAACUGGAUGGGGAGGGUCCUGCCCCGCUCUCAUUUUCAUCCAUUUUUCUAUAUUAGGGAUGAGAUGGUCUAUUUUUAGUGUGUGGCUGGUGUAAGUCAGGGGUUGCUAUAGCAACAGUGAGUGGCUACAAACCCAGUGCUGCUUGGGUUCCCAGUCACAGAGAAAUCCCAACACGGAGUCCUGACAGGAAUGCAGCCUCGGAGGAUGGAGCGACCCUGUCCAUGCAGGUUCCUGACUGCUGUCUUCAUGGAGUGCCUUGGGCAGGCUGAGCCUGAGUCUUGCUAGUAGAAAGUGAAUACGGGCUCGGGACUGAGAGAAAAGCUGGAAAGCUGAUUGGGAACGGAUGCCAAAGCUCACUCACAGGCCUCUCUCAUGGUACCAACCAACAGGAAGAGCACAUCACUCCAGCCCAUGGGAGCGGCAACUCUGAAUUCCACAAGGACUGUUUCUGGCUUGACUCCCAGCAAACUGAAGGUUCCUGGGAAGAAGUGUAGAUGAAUGUUCUCUAAAGAGCCUGCCUUUGUGUUAAGACCUUCUAGAUGGUCUGCUUUACUGAGUAUGGGUGUCACAGCCUUAUGGAGAGAUGGAAUGUGGAUCAAGAGACUAAGGGUCGCUCCAUGUGGUGGCAAACACCUAUGCUCUGAGCCCAUCUGAGACAUGAGUGAAUUGGAUAAUGAGGCCUAUCAAAAAGCAAACAGUGAAAGGGCCAAGGCUCUACUGGGUGGCCUUUGGCCCCUAAUGGCGCCCAUGUAUCAUUAGCCUUUGCCUCUGGCCUGGGCUUUUUGUGACUGCUGGAUAAGAAAGACCCUCAUGUAUGCUGAGCUGUUGGGCCUCUCACCCCUUCCAACCUAGAGGCUAGGAAUGAGUGGGCACCUGCUUCCGGUAGAAAGUGUCUCUACCCUGCUGAAGACUACAUCAAAAUUUUGGAGGAGCACCCCCCUCUCUGUAGCACACCUACAGCCCACCCACAGAACAGGACAGUCCUGCCACCUUUCUUUUGGGACUGUCUUUGGGGAACCCAUGUCAUGAGUAACCUGAGUCUAUGUUCCAAACCAUGAUGUCUGAUGUUUGUGCUCACAGCAAACUAUUUUCUUAUUUCAUAAUUGUUAUUUUUCUUUUUCACCUUGACAGAAAAUACUAGAUGUUACAUGAAUUAUUUCCAGGAAAGCUCUGAGAAGGCUGAUUUACGUUAA